AGAAUUUUCAGAGAAUCUGGAACGUUUCAGGGCUAGAAUUAGUUACUUACCUCAUAGUGGCUACUUCUAAUGCUAAACCUGAAACCCACAGAAGACCCAAUCCACAACUGCCUAAUUAGAGCAAGCCUUUCAGGACGCUGGACACUGGUCAGGUUCAGACCUGGGCUUCCCAGAGAGCAGUGCUGAAUUAAGUUAGUCUGGCACUCAGGAAGGCAGAACCCACAAGGCUACGUCCUUCCCGCCUUCACCCAGUGGUAGGAAGCAUACAGCCGAUGGACUUCUUGUCUUCCUAUCUCCCGCUUGUUAUAAACCAGGUGCUCCAUCAGCCUGCCUUCCAGAAACUUAUUGGUGCCAGCAACUUGUGUCAUCACUUGCCACCGACAGCAGCACCUGCUUCUGUCUCUCUGAUAUCAUCCGCCAUGAAGUCCUCACCUGAACUGAGCUGAUGUUGGUGGCGUGCCUUCGAACCCCUAAACUGUCAGCUAAGUAAGCUCUAAGUUAACCUAUCUGCUUCAUAAUGCCCUCAGCCCUGGGUACUUCAGUUACAGCCAUGGGAAAUAAACCGGCAGGAGAUACAGGUACACUGGAAGGGCACACUCCCAUCCCCUGAUCUCCCACAGACCUCUCUGGUUUCCACCCUUCCAACAACAAUAUUGAAGCACAGAGACAGUGAGUGCCAGAAGACUGAAUUAAGACCCUUAGCUUCGGGUUUUUAAUGAGGUUGGCUGUCUAAAAGGCAGAGGUGUGAUGGAUUUAGGAAACGUCGGGACUCACAUGACAAAGAGUUUAUAGCCAUAAUAUAUAAAGGCCUGCCACAUUAAAUAACAAAG
Molecule: long non-coding RNA, 830 nt
Filed under: Rattus norvegicus (Norway rat)
Lineage: Eukaryota; Metazoa; Chordata; Mammalia; Rodentia; Muridae
Description: long non-coding RNA NONRATT031668
Source: RNAcentral